GUACUAAAGACACAAUAUUCCUGAUUCCAUUCCUAAAUGCAUGGCCACUCGGUACCCCAUGAGGAAUCAGGUCAGACGGGUCCGUUUGCUUGAAUGACAGGAAGAGAGAAACGUUAUAAACAAGGUCUUGCAUAACAGGAAGGAAACAAAGCUCAGAUUAAGUUCUGCCAAAAUCUCUCUCGAGCAGCAGAAAUUCGAAUAAAUCGACAGAGCAAAGUGGAAUAGACAUCCUGUACGUGUUAACGAAUACGCUGCUGAAUACUGCUGUGUAACGAGCAUUACUGUACAUUACAUAAAAGAGAUGAGGAAAAUCUCUUAGCAACUGAAUACACUCUUUAGUUUUAAUACACACCACUAAAGCCCCAAUUAAAAUCCUUAUCAUGAUUACGGAGUACACUUCCAGUCUAAGGUUACUGACCACCUCGAGAGUUUGUGUGUUUUAUUAGUUUAAUCAGUAUUAUUACUACAACCCAAGCAGAAUUAUAACUACAAAUAAAGCAAUCAAAAUCUUUAAGGAACUUAUUAACUGGUCACUCUCAGAUCCCAAUACUACUUUCAUCCUCUUAUUAGAUCAGAUCAGAUCUAAAUUAUUCUUUAAAAAUAAAAAAAAUAAAAAAUCAUCAUUCAGUAACAUAUUUAUUGAUGCCUUGGUUAGAUUUUCAAAUUGUAGAGUACUUAAAAUGACUUCAUGGAAUAAAGAUAGUGUAGAGCAAGCUACAUUUCGCUUUUUUUUAUGCACUCCUCUACAGUAAGCUCUUCAUCCUGUUCAGGGUGAAUCCGGAGACGAUCCUGGGAACGCUGAGCGCAAAGAAGGGAUACACCCUGGCUGGGAUAGCAGCAUGACCUCUCUCUCUCCCACACACACACACACAGGCAAUUUACAGUUGUCAGUCCACAUACCGGCAUUAUUUUGGACAGAGGAGGAAACCCGAGAUGAAACCCACGGGGGCAGUACCUGGACCUGAGGACUGAACCCAGGACACAGGAGCGGCAUAUACGCGUGUGCAUCCAUCUGCAUUCCAAGGCUGUCCACAAAACUGGUUGGGAAAACAAAGAGUACAAAAGAGAGCCACUUCCUGCUCCAUGGAUGAUACCCUCAGCAACAAGAGCAGACAAGUCACAGCACAACAAAAAAGGGAAGAGGGGGAAAAAAACACGCAUAAUUAAACCACAAGAGAUGAAACAGACCCCUAGCAUGGCUGGGUCCUGAAUGGGGGUGUAUUCACCUAAUCAAAGGAGGACUCGAUUACCCAGGAAAGAAUAAUCGCACAGAACGAGACGGCUGGGGCUCCUCCAACUGCAAAGCCACGACCUACAGGGUUCGCUUCAGUGCAGACAAAAAUGGACUUGCA
Ictalurus punctatus (channel catfish) is the source of this 1352-nucleotide long non-coding RNA. NCBI's taxonomy places the organism in Eukaryota, Metazoa, Chordata, Actinopteri, Siluriformes, Ictaluridae. The record is from Ensembl.